This is a long non-coding RNA of Solea solea (common sole), 1208 nucleotides long. RefSeq lists it as uncharacterized. The record is from RefSeq and is a predicted model, not a curated record. The transcript has 2 exons. Lineage: Eukaryota; Metazoa; Chordata; Actinopteri; Pleuronectiformes; Soleidae.
AGUUAUAACAAUAGCAGCAAAGUCAAAGUGGAAAGAAUUCUCUCUGUAUAAGUAUUUAUCACUAAUGUCAUAUUAGAAUGGCAAUAUUCAACAACUAUAACUUAUAUCAACUACUCACUCUCUCCAUAUUUGGAGUUUUAAUUUUCUAUGUUGACAUACAUGUUUAUGUGCAAUAUACUCAGGUAUAUACAUAAAUAAAGGUAUAUUUGUUCAUUUAUCGCGAUAUUCGACGACCAGAUAUCGCAUGUUUUUCCUGUAUCGUGCAGCCCAAGCUGUCACACACACACACACACACACACAGAGAGAGAGACAGCAGCGUGUACAGACUGUAGGGUAAUUGCCGUGAUAAGUGUGUGACCGUGGCGUUAGCCCACGAGCUACAGUGUUCACCUCGUUUUUUUCUUGUUUUAAUCCGGUAGUGUCGCUGCUAGCUCGGAGUAAGCUAACGACAGUCACAGUGGAGAGACAGAGAGACAGAGACAGAGACAGUAAACAUGCCGGAGACACAAUGAGACAAUGAGACAGCACUUACUUUGGAGACCAGCCCUUCCAUUUCACCAGAUCACGUGCAGACAGAAAGAAGAGGAAGAAGAAGAAGAAGAAGAAGAAGAAGGAGGAGAAGAAAUGGCUCUGGCACAAACAGCAGCAGCGCCUUCAGCCUCUGGAUGCGAUUGGUCUCUGCGCGUCUGCAGAGCAGCGGCGCUGCCGCGGAACCAACACCAUUGGCUGCCUUGUAUCCGGGCAAGAUGUAGACGCAGGAUCCUGGUGAGGAGAACGAGCACAUUUUACACAGACACUCGGCAGCACGCGCGCGCGCGCGCACUCAGAGCGGAGAGAUAAACGGAUUCAGAUUGUCCUUGUUCUACAGACGCUUGGAAUGAUCAGUAUUUUGGGUGUGACGUUCACGAUGAUGCGCCAAUGAAAGGUCAUUCUUCAUUAGAUCGGAAAGAAAUCAGCAGCUGAAUGACUUCCAUGGUCCUAAAGCAACGGUUACACACGAACACAUCACAUACAGUAUUUAACACGUGGACACAUAGAUAUAGAAACAGCAGAGCUACAAUACACUGUAAAACAUUUAUAAAAAGAGAACGGACAACAGAGGACAGAGCAAGUCCUCUUUAUUUAGGGAUGAUUGAUUUGACUCGUUAGCACGGAUUCAUCUGUUUAACCCACGUUCUUUAGGAAGUCAUUAAAACACGUCAUCACCA